CCUACGGGCGGCAGCAGUGAGGAAUAUUGGUCAAUGGACGCAAGUCUGAACCAGCCAUGCCGCGUGCAGGAAGACGGCUCUAUGAGUUGUAAACUGCUUUUGUACGAGGGUAAACGCAGAUACGCGUGUCUGUCUGAAAGUAUCGUACGAAUAAGGAUCGGCUAACUCCGUGCCAGCCGCCGCGGUAAUACGGAGGAUUCAAGCGUUAUCCGGAUUUAUUGGGUUUAAAGGGUGCGUCGGCGGUAGGAUAAGUUAGAGGUGAAAUCCCGAGGCUCAACUUCGGAAUUGCCUCUGAUACUGUUCGGCUAGAGAGUAGUUGCGGUAGGAGGAAUGUAUGGUGUAGCGGUGAAAUGCUUAGAGAUCAUAAAGAACACCGAUUGCGAAGGCAGCUUACCAAGCUACUUCUGACGUUGAGGCACGAAAGCGUGGGGAGCAAACAGGAUUAGAUACCCUAGUAGUC
RNAcentral lists this ribosomal RNA (460 nucleotides) under uncultured bacterium. Its description in RNAcentral is "partial 16S ribosomal RNA". It matches the Rfam family "Bacterial small subunit ribosomal RNA", at positions 338 to 795 of the family's 1533-position model. The record is from RNAcentral.